Molecule: long non-coding RNA, 2576 nt
Organism: Lutra lutra (Eurasian river otter)
Lineage: Eukaryota; Metazoa; Chordata; Mammalia; Carnivora; Mustelidae
Exons: 4
Source: RefSeq, a predicted model, not a curated record
CGUGCCAGGGUUCCAAUUCCUCCAGAUCCUCGCCAACGCAAGCUGUCCUGUGGUGUUUGGUUUUGGGAUCUUUGGGCUACUGUUGUUGCUAGCGGCCCUCCUCACAGAGAGAGAGUGCAAGUGGGGCAGGACAGGGCAGAAGGAGAGAGAAUGUGAAGAAGCCUCCAUACCCAGAAGCAACAAGCUGAGUGUCAUUGUCAGAAAGCAGGCAGCUGACAGUCCAUUGCCAAUGUGACCCUUUUGUCCAGAUGAUUCUUCUAGACUCUCUGGUUCUUCCAGCUCCCCCAGGAAAGGAAGCGAGGACAAAACAUGGCGCAGAGUCCCUUCAUUCUACAUGGGCCCGUAAAGUACAGACAUGGAGUCAUCUCCAUAGAACACAGGGAAGGAGAAAGGACGCAGGUGGUGAAUAGUGACCUGACCAGUGACGCUCUGACUCUUCAGCUGCAACAUCUGGGCCUGUGCUGGCCGCGAGCACGGCUGCCAGCAAACAGCCCCUCAGGCUGAGGGAUACGGUGGUGCUGCUCUAGGCGGGACCUUGCUCCAGUCCGUGCGCUGUCAGCUGUCCCACUGCCCACCCACAUCCACCCCCACUGAGUCUGAGGACCUUCAGGCCCUGUUGGACACCGUGAGGAUCGUGCCCGCUGAAUGGACUGCUCCCACCUCUUGUCCGUGGCCUCUUGCAUGAACUGGGACCAGGCCAAACCGGUCCCAGGGUCCCCUCUCGGCACCUUAACUGCACACAAUUCCAGCGUUCACUUCCGGUCCUCACACAGGCUCAGCCUGCACACAUCUCCUGUUAAAGGUCUUUCCCGCCACGUGGUUGCUGCAGCAAGAAUCACGAGUCACUGUUGAAUCUUUGGUCCCUCCUGCCCCACGUGGAAUCUGUCAUCCAAGCCUCGCCAGGUCCCCCACCUGCCCCAACAUUUUCCCCAUUUCUCUCCUACUCUCUUCUCCACCACGACCAUGAGUCCGAAAUGCCAUUUCCGACGUGGACCUGGCAGAGUCUCACCAGUCUUGCAGGGUGUUAGGUUCCUGCUGUUGCUCUAACAAAUGAGCACAACCAUAGUGGCUUCACACAACACAAUCUGUGAAUCCUGACGUUUUGUAGAUCAGCAGCCUGCCCCAGAAAGAGCUGGAGGGAUUGCCCAAGAUCAUCGCCCUAUUUAAAGGCCAGCCUGUUAACAACCUUAAUUCCCCGUUGCCUUGUCCAGUCACAUAUUCACAGGCUCUGGGGAGCAAGGUGUGCACACCCUUGGGGGUCACUCGUCUGCUCACCACACUUGGCUUCCACUGUCUCCUCUCUUUGGCCUUCUCUGCCAGGCAAGCAGAGCGAAACCACUAGAAUAACAUCAUGUAAAUAGGGGCUAGAAGAAAGUGCAUAACAGGGGCUAUGGAAACUUCUGGAAAACAAAUCAGACCACGAAUAAAUAGUCCCUUUAGAUAUUUCUAACUGCAUUUCGAAUAAGACGCAGAGUCUCUCAUGUGGCCCCCAAAGCCCUGCCUGCUGGGCCCCCAGGCUUCAGGCACCCUGGCUGUUCCAGAUUUAAGGGGAAAUGGGUGUGAGUAGAGGGGGUGGAUCUCCCCAUGCUUUCAUUCCUGGAGGUAGAUUCCCCUUCUUGUAAAUGUGUGGUGGGGUCAUGAAGAUUCAUGAAGACUCAAACCUCUGGAUCAUUUUCUCCCUACAGACUCCCUCCAUGUAGCUCUUUAAUGCUGUGCCUGCCCAACUGGGAUCAUCUGCCCAGAGAGUUCCAACAGAUCUAUGGACUCGGUUUCAACUUCUGUGUAACACGCCUGUGAGCUAUUGAUCCAGCUGUGCCAAAAGGGUGGCAGUCUGUGACACACACUUGUCUGAAGUCCCCAUUGUGGGAGGACGGAGGAUCAUAGCUGCAACUAUGAUCCUUUUCUGCUAUAUUAUGAGGGGAGCUUAGAGCUGCAAGUGGUAUUUUUGUUUCUAGGAUUCCAGACACAUCUACAUAACUGAUUACAUAAUUACUUGAGAACUUUGGUUUCAUUAUUUAAAUCGUCAUAGAAUCGACCCACAAGGUUAUAUUAGUUUCCAGUACAACAUAACUGUUUGGUGUUUGUACAUAUUGUGAAGUGAUCACCACAGCAAGCCGAGUUAACUGUUCCCACACAUAUCACAAAAUUAAUUUUUCCUGUGAUGAGAACCAUUAAGAUCUACUCUCUCAGCAACUUUCAAAUAUGCAAUACAGUGUUGUUAACUAUAGUCCCCUUGCUGUGCAUUCUAUCCCCAGGACUUAUCUAUAUUAUAAUUGGAUGUUUACACCUUUUGAACACUUUCUCCCUUUGUUAGGAUUCCCUACCCAUUCUGCUUCUGGCAACCACCAGUCUAUUCUCUGCAUCUAUGAACUUGGUUUUUUAAAUUUUGUUUUUGUGACCCAUGUAUAAGUGAGCGCAUAUGGUAUCUGUCUUUCUCUGACUUACUUCAUUUAUCAUAUUGCUCUGAAGGUCUAUCCAUGGUGUCACAAAUGGCAAGAUUUCCUUCUUUAAAAAAAAAAAAGAUUUUAUUUAUUUUAGAGAAAGCAUGUGAGUAAGGGGAGGGGCACAGGUUGAGA